AGAGAGUGUCAAAUUCUCAAAUCAAGACAGAAUAAUUCAUCCUAAGAGGUAAUUUAUACCGACUAAGCUGUCUGAGGCUUUGGAGAUCAGCUUUUGGCAUGUGUUUCUCUACAGCUUGCACAGUGGACCACAACAUGCUAUAUAGAUGAUUCAUGGGCUGGAGACUUUCUGCACAUGCAGGGUCCAAGGAGUCGCAGCGGAUUUAAAGGUCAUUUGAAAUGCAGCCUUUUGCUCUUUGACAGCCCUUUCAAUAUCAGCCUCCAGUUCUGUUUUACAAAGUCAUCAUUAUUAACUGCGUCUGUGGCUACUGCUAUUUUCCUGGGUUUGCAGAGAAACCUGAGAUACUAA
RNAcentral lists this long non-coding RNA (348 nucleotides) under Zonotrichia albicollis (white-throated sparrow). Its description in RNAcentral is "lncRNA (ENSZALG00000006030.1)". The record is from RNAcentral. Lineage: Eukaryota; Metazoa; Chordata; Aves; Passeriformes; Passerellidae.